AGCAACGAAAAUAAUUUUAUGGCUGGGGGUCACCACAACAUGAGGAACUGCAUUAAAGGGUCGCGGCAUUAGGAAGGUUGAGAACCACUGUGUUGUCCCCUUAAGCAUCCACAGCCCUUGGCCUUGGGCCCAGGCGGUGAGGCGUGACGUUUACUGCGCACGCGCGCCGAGCUCCACGACGGCCCCGCCCCUGGUCCGCCUGGACCAACCCCGCCCCGCCCUCUGGGGCGGAGCUAAGCACGGCUUCCGCCGGAAGUCCGGGCUCCAGCGGGAAACCGUACCCAGCCGGUGAUGCAGCUCCCUCCUCCAGUGACCGGCCGCUUCCGUGUCUUCCGCGCCCCAGUUUAGAUUUUCACGCCCAACUCUUAUCCAGUCGUGAUCACACCACAUCCCAGUGCCAGGUGCAAAUCACUGCACAACCCGAAGCUAGGAGAGGAGCCUGUGUCCCGCCCGGGGCGGCCCAGGGAGGUCCCCGCCCGCCUUUCCGACCUCAUCGGCCGCACUCUCCUACCUGUCCCCCGUGCACCCUCCGCCACCCCGGCCAUGGCGCAGAAGCCGAAGGUAGACCCCCACGUCGGACGGCUGGGAUACCUGCAGGCGCUGGUCACUGAAUUCCAGGAGACGGAGAGCCAAGACGCCAAGGAGCAAGUCCUGGCCAACCUCGCCAACUUCGCCUAUGACCCCAGCAACUACCAGUAUCUGCGACAGCUGCAGGUCCUGGAUCUAUUCCUGGAUUCGCUGUCGGAGGAGAACGAGACCCUGGUGGAGUUUGCUAUUGGAGGCCUCUGCAACCUGUGCUCAGACAGGGCCAACAAGGAGCACAUCCUGCAGACAGGGGGCGUCCCGCUCAUCAUCAACUGCCUGUCCAGCCCCAACGAGGAGACUGUGCUGUCCGCUGUCACCACCAUCAUGUACCUGAGCUCGCCAGGCCCCGGCUCCCACCCCGAGCUGACCGCCACGCCCGUGGUCCAGUGCAUGCUGCGCUUCUCUCUCUCGGCCAACACACGGCUCCGGAACCUGGCCCAGGUCUUCCUGGAAGACUUCUGUUCCCCGAGCCAGGUGGCCGAAGCCCGCCGCCGGCCGGCUCACUCUGCCCUGGGCAUCCCACUGCCAAGGACCGAGGCCCCACAGCAGCCCUGACCCACGGAGACCUCAGGGCCGCGGUUCUCUCACUGCCGGAGACAAGACCGAAAUCCUGGUGGGGGCUGGGAAGCAGGAGCAGCUUCGCUCCCACUGAGCACUUUCCCCCAAUUGGUGCCUUUCAGCCAUUUUAAAGAUUUCAUUCCGUUUCCUGACUACACCCAAGUAUCGGUCCCCAUCUGAGCACCCCAAUACUUCCAAGCCACUGCAACAGACGCAGUACAAAGGGAGCCUGGCGUCCCAUUCAUUCUAAGAUGACUUCCAAACACGCUUAAGAAAAGAGGAAGCAGUUACUGCACCAGCAAUACACACUGAGGACUUGUCUAUUUCCCCCUCCUUCACUGACACCGAAGUUUACAAACUAGACAUCAGCGGUCAUGAUCAUUUUGAGCUCAUGCUACGAACGGAAACCGGCUCCUUAGAGAACUGUCUGCAGAGGGAAGCCCGCUGGCCUCGGCCUUCACGGGUCGUGUUCACUGUGACCAAUCACUGAGCGGAGGACUUGGAGUAACGAGAAAAAGCAACUAGGCGGGCAGAACACCGAAACCACCUCCAAAAGAUGACACGGGACACAACAGUUCAAAAUCGGUACAUUUGUUUACUUGAAGCAACAGUCCAGGAUUGUGAAGUACAACACAGUUUUUAAGGAUGAGACUUCGUUUCAUGGUCAACACCAGCAGCAUGCACACGGCGUCUGGCUGUCAGAGCACUGCCCGAGGGGUCCGCGCUGUGAGGUCACGCCCUUGCUUGCUUCACGGACACUCGGAACCGGGCAGCUGGAGUGGACAUGGAGCGUCCCCUGCGGGACAGCAGGAGGCGUUGCUCCUGGGCCAGCCCAGUGAGUGCCUGGCUUCUUGCUUAAGGUUCAAAAAGAAAAGGCAGUGUCUUUGCUCUGCGGCAGCAAGGCAUGAGGCACAGGCCUCUCUGUGGUUCCAAACGGCACAGGAAGAGCUUUUAGCAAAGGGCAGGGACAAGUUCGGGCGACACCCAGGAGGUUCGGUAUAAAGAUAGCCCUGGGGGGGGGGGGGGCUGUAGGGAAGGUGCCUGUGGACUGUUUACUGGCCUGUCCGAUCAAGGCUUGGUAAACCCAAGUAAAGCUGACAAGAAAAGGGUUUUAAAAACCUCAGUACAAAAGAUCCUCCAAUACAUCUGGAACCAAAUUAUUUGUUUUUAAAAACACGGGACGAGGUUCACAAGGCUUUCCCGCCCACCUACUACUAGGAGCACUCAUGCCAUGGCCUACAGACCGGAGCAGGGCCGAUGAGGAACCUGCUCUUCAGAAAGAAAAAGGGGAAAGAAAGACAGCAGUACAUAAAGUGCUUCUUCUUUAAUGAAACAAAUCCAAAAGAUGUACAGUCAGGCUCAAGUUGUGCAGUUCACAAGCAUGGAGGAAACAGACAGACAAACAAAACGACGCGUCCGACAGGCGCGCUAGCCCAGGACCAGGCUGGACUUGCCGCCAGGGGGGUUUCUCCGCGACGGCACCGGGGCCGGCGCCACCGGGCUGGGCACGGGGGCGGCGGGCACCGGCUUCUCCUCGCUCUGCCCCAGGCUGGCCUGCAAGUCUACGUCCACGUUUUCUAUGGAGACAGAAUGAAAUGAAGGCUAACAGCGAUUCCCAGGGAAUCUGAAGGAUCUAAGGUUGUUUGUUUUUUAGGAAGACUCAAAACAUACCUAGAGACAGAAAGAAGCAAACCGCCGCCGCCAAUCAUGUCCCGCCACCCAGAAUUUACCACGGUUUGUGUUCUGCCAUAUGUGUCCCCAGGCCUCAUUCUGUGUAUGUUCUUUUCUCAAUUACACAAACAAGAAAGACAUGAGUAUUGUAAAUUAGAACAUCACAGACAAGCUCUAGAUCCCUGACUCCUAACCCACCUCCACGUGGGUCUCCUCGCCCUAUCCCCAGAGGGUUUGUUUUGGGCAUAUUUUACGUGUAUUUUAUAUCCAGCACGUGACAUAUAAUAUUGUUUUCCCUGUGUUUAACAUAAACAAUAUCAACUUCCUUUUUUUUUCACUCUUUUGCAAAUUUACCCAUAUUUAUACAUAUGGUCAUAAUUCACCUUGCUUAAUUGAAGUGCUUUAUUGUGUGUGUGUGUGUGAAUUUAAUAUAUCCAGUCUUCUACUGAGCAACCGGCCCAAGUACUGCAAACAAAACUGUAAUGCAAACAUUACCCAGCACCUUCCCAAGUGGCUGUGCCAUGUCCCACCUCGUACCCCCCAUCAAAGCAAUGUAUGCCCACCUGACACCUUUGCAUAUGCACCGCUUGGUAACCUCUUUGCUUUAAUAUUUGCCAGACUGAUGGGUGGGAAAUGUUACUGCGUUCAUGUUGUAUGUUACAUGUCCAUGAUUACUGGGUGAGGUUGAUUUUAACUACACAGAUGGCCAGUUGUACCAUCAUCUACAUUUAUUAACGAGUCCACCUUUCCCCUACUGGCUUGUAAUAACACCUCCAUUAACCAGGUCACUCCCAUCUCUCAUGAACUGGGCACUUUCCAUAUUAAAGUGUUUAGAAUUAGUGUAGUAUUGUCCAAAAUCCUGGAUACUGCUUGAUUGAUUCACUGGCUGAUUUGUGAAACUCCCAACAAGCAUAUAUUCUUAACCAGGUAGUUUACAAAGUCAGAGAUGUCAUUGGUUCAAAGAGUAACUGCAAGAGAAAAAACUCAGAAUUUUCUGCGGAAGGAAACUUCUAAGAAGAGUUUCAUAGUUUUAAGGCAUGUUCGAUUUUUAAUUUUUAAAGAAAAUCCAGGUCUGAUUUCAUUCAGUGUUAGACCACAUUCAGUUGAGUAUUCUAAUACCUGCCUUAGAAUAAUCACACACAGAGACACCUUUAGUAGCAGACAUGGGAGAAAAGCUUCCAUAAACUUAGAAAAAAGUUUUCCAAUCUUCACCUGAGGAUAUGUUUUCUUGACUUUAGAGAGAGGUGAGAGAGAAACAUCAAUCAGUUGCCUCCUGUAUGCACGCCAACUGGGGAUCAUACCCACAACUUAUGGAUGUGCCCUGACCAGUAACAGAACCCACACCCUUUUGAUGUAUGGGAUGCUGCUCCAACCAACUGAGCCACCCCGCCAGGGCUUAAGGACAUGCAUUCCCUCCCAGUUUGGGAGUUCCAAAGCCUGGAAGCAGUGAAGCCGAAAUAUUGGUUCUGCUAUAUACUAUGUAGGAACUCCAUAUGGACUCAUUCUGGACACCAAUGAAAAGUUCUAAUUUUAAAAAAAUACAUAGUUUCUCUAAGUUCUUCAAAGACCAAACAUUAAAAGUUCAUGUUCCUAAAACCACUUGUACCAAGUUUUUAUUUAGCCGACUGAAACUGAGAAGUCCAAGGGAGAAGUGGUCUUAGAUCAGAAACACACCAAAAUCUCAGACACAAGCUACUGCUGCUAGUCACAUGGCAUUUGAUGAAUUUCUGGAACAUUCUGCAGAAGUAACAUGAUAUGACACACAUAAUGGUCGAUAGUAUUGAACUACAAGUAAAACUCUAAUAGGAGGCUUUCCAAGACGACAGUCCUUACGGUUAUGAACUGAAGCUGGGGGAGAAAGGGCCGGCUACCCUUCGGUUCCUGUUGCUACACUCUUGUUACGCAAGCAACGGGAUCACAAGCAUCACCAUCAAGGACCCAAGUCCCACAAUAAGUGUCCCUUACAUAACCUAAGAAAACAUGUCCGAUAUACUACAAACACAAACAAAACACCCGAAACCCACAUUUUAAAAACAAUUCAAAAUAGAUGAAUACAGAGCAUGAACUCAGGCUGAGCCAACAGGCGAGCGGUCUCAUUCCUGCUGCGAGGACAUGGCCUGGCCUCCCCGCUGCACACAUCUACCUGAUUCUCCACUGUCUGCCGGGGCCAAGCAGCUAACGGCACUUCUAAAGGACACAAAAUUACCUUGCAGCGCUACCAUGGCAAUUAAUUCCCACAGAGUGGUUUUUAGCUCAAUCAGGCUCAUUUCCACCCAUUUUCUUUCGUUUAUUAUUAAUGGAACUGUCCUCUUUCACAACGAGGUAACAGCAUACCAAAAAAAAAAAAAAAAAGCGAAGGGAAAAAAAAGCACAUAUGGAGGUUAAAAACAGCAGGCCUUCACGUCCUCUUUCUUAUAGAUUUCCAAAGUCCUCCUGUGGCCACUCCUGUGUAAUUGCCCACAAGACGAAGGCAAUUUUCCUUAUAUCCAAACAAAAUCUGUUUUGUUUAAACAGAGCAGAAUAGCUUGGCUUUGAAGUAAACUUGGCAACAGAACUGGGGUUGACCUCUACUCCGCCAGAUGUGCCUUACAUUAUCAGGCCCUUUGUCAUUUUACGACAAAUAAAGUAAAAGUAGCAGCUAUCAGGAACACAAAAUAAUCAGGUGGCAAAAUGGAUGACAAUGGGAGAAAAAAAGAGGAAGGACUUGUCAUACUACACAAUUCAAUGUGCGAUUUACCCGAAGAAUCUCACACACUCUCCAGGCUCCCCAAAUCCCCAACUGUAUUCAUUGGCCAAAAUUAGUGAGUCAGGAUUGUGGCUAAAUAAGGUCUCACAGUGGAAGUAUUUCAGGAUUACACAAAGCAGUGGAAUCGAAAAGCCUAGAAGAUAUUUUACCUGCAGAACAGUCUUUUCAAAUGAAACAAAUUGGAUAUGAACAAAAAACAAACCCAUCUUCAGCCCGGGCACAGGGAAUGUGUCCAACGAGCAUGCGCCUGGGUUACGCUCACAGACGGUCAGAGCUCGCCCCACCCCGUGGAGACGCACCGCGAGCCCGGCCGGCGGGACUCAGUGGUUGAGCAUCGACCUAUGGACCAGGAGGUCACGGUCCGAUUCCGGUCAGGGCAGAAGCCCGGGGUGCGGGCUCCAUCCUGUGAGAAUAAACAAAUCAUCUUUUCUGCCAAAGAACAAUUUAGACAGCUGCCAUGUUGGCCGCAUGGCUUGCAGCUCCCCUGGGGGCCGCCAUCUUGAAACAGCCAAGGCCAACCCCUCUUUUUGAAUUAGCCAAUCGUGAAAGGCUGUGCGCCUGCGCUCCAAUCAAGAGCAAGGGACAGGUCACGUGGGUCAGGGAUUAUAAAGCCGGCAGACCACCUGCUCGGUGUGCGUGCUUCCAGACCAUGAAUGCGCUUCCAGACCAUGCGUGCGCACCCUUCUGCGGAGAGGUAAAGACACCUGCCUGCUGCCUGCCUCCGAGUGUGAUUUGUGUUCUACCAGGACCCCUGAAUUUGGGGGCUCGCGUUAUUUGUAACAAUCCCCAGCGUGGGGAGUGCAGGAGGCAGCCGAACCAUGAUUCUCUCUUAUCAUUGAUGUUUCUCUCUCUCUCCCUUCCUCUCUGAAAUCAAUAAAAAUAUUUAAAAAAAGAAAAGAAAAGCACCGUUUGAGAGGACAGAAGAGGAACGUGGCUCUUACACAUCUGCCUCCCUGGAGGCUGCAGCACAGGAUGUAAUGGCAGGAAGAGGCCGCGAGGCAGCCCCGGCAGGACCGGGGGCCUGAUAGCUGCAUUCCACCGAGUCCAUUUUUACCCGCUGCCGCCGCCUGGUGUGUGUCAACUCCGCAUCACACUUGUCAGGACUUCUCUGGCACUUGUUAGGGAAAUGCCAAUAACUACCUCACAGAUUAAAAUAAUUAAAUGGCAACAGCUCAUUUCCACAGGGAUGAAAAUUUACAUCUGCCCCCUAAAUCACCAUUUAUAAGAUCACCAGGUUUCCACUGUCUCGAUAAAUAAGCAGCUAUAUAUAUAUAU
Molecule: RNA transcript, 6835 nt
Organism: Myotis myotis
Lineage: Eukaryota; Metazoa; Chordata; Mammalia; Chiroptera; Vespertilionidae
Gene: ARMC7
Gene name: armadillo repeat containing 7
Exons: 5
Source: RefSeq, a predicted model, not a curated record